Molecule: ribosomal RNA, 389 nt
Filed under: uncultured bacterium
Lineage: Bacteria
Description: bacterial SSU rRNA
Rfam family: Bacterial small subunit ribosomal RNA
Source: RNAcentral
AUUGAACGCUGGCGGCAUGCUUUACACAUGCAAGUCGAACGGCAGCACGGGUGCUUGCACCUGGUGGCGAGUGGCGGACGGGUGAGUAAUACAUCGGAACGUGUCCUGAAGUGGGGGAUAACGCAUCGAAAGAUGUGCUAAUACCGCAUAUACUCUGAGGAGUAAAGUAGGGGAUCGAAAGACCUUAUGCUUUUGGAGCGGCCGAUGUCUGAUUAGCUAGUUGGUGGGGUAAGUUGCCCACCAAGGCGACGAUCAGUAGUUGGUCUGAGAGGACGACCAGCCACACUGGGACUGAGACACGGCCCAGACUCCUACGGGAGGCAGCAGUGGGGAAUUUUGGACAAUGGGCGCAAGCCUGAUCCAGCAAUGCCGCGUGAGUGAAGAAGGCC